GGGUGGUGACUGUGGGGAAGGAUCCCCUCGAGUGCUGGAGGGAGGUGACCCUGUGGCUGUUGUGCUGGGUGCCAUGUUGUCCUGGUAAAGCUGGCUCCCCAAGUCCAACCCUUGGCACAGAGGGCCCAGCAGCUCGCCUCCGCAACCAGCACAAAUCUAGAGGAACUCUGCUUGGCUCCGAGUGAGACAGGCUGGGACCUGAGAUCUCUGCCAGAGUGCCUGCACCUGGACAAACGUCUCCUUAAGCAACAGGAUACAAAACAGCCACAAGGCACAGGUGCAGAGAUGAAGGACUGUGUAUGACCCUUGCAGACGGCCCUCCACAAAGGGCGGAUCCUUGCACCAGGCACCCUCAGAGGGCUGGAGAGCCCACCCAAACUACACCUCCAACCAAGCUCCCACGCCUACCCUCACCCUAUUUAAGGGACCAGCUAGCUCUCUGGAGAAAAAGAGCAAGAGCACCUGCUUCCUAUUGCUGCCUCCGUGUGCUGUAGCUUAAGCCCUAGCAAGUCCUUGCCCGAAAUCCAUGUGGCCUCAUCAAUUUCUAUUGAUUAAAGGGUCCAAGCGUCCAGGUCCGUAACACUAGGACCUGAGCCCUCGCCCUGGUCUCUGCCUGGAGGAAAAAGGCAGAGCCCUUCCAUCCUGGUUAGCUCACCUUGCCAAAACAUGAGGGAUUUUCACAUGUGACCGUAGCCCAUCACCUCCAGAACUGAUACCCAGGAGGGUCUCCUUUAGAGAAUAAUUGGAAACACACCCAUCUCAGACUGGGGCCUUUAGUUGGCAACUGAGUCUCUGUAGGGAGCAUCUGACCUUUUACAGCACUGAUGAUUUAGGGUAGGGAUUUCCAGCAACCAGCAGCAACAUUACUGUUAGCACUGGUUUCUUCCCACAGAGACUGAGUAGUAUGGAGAGAAAGUUAGUAUGCCAUUCACAGCUCCAAGACAUUGAAUAGGGAUGCAAAUUGUUCCCACCAUCCUAUCCUCCUUGUCGCCAAUUGUGUUGAGAAGAACACACUGGUAUAUUGAAUUAAGAAUGCUAUGCUAUGCUAUGCUGAGUCACUUCAGUCGUGUCCGACUCUGUGCGACCCCAUAGAUGGCAGCCCACCAGGCUCCCCCGUCCCUGGGGUUCUCCAGGCAAGAACACUGGAGUGGGUUGCCAUUUCCUUCUCCAAUGCAUGAAAGUGAAAAGUGAAAGUGAAGUUGCUCAGUCGUGUCCGACUCUUAGCG
This is a long non-coding RNA of Bos taurus (domestic cattle), 1226 nucleotides long. The record is from Ensembl. NCBI's taxonomy places the organism in Eukaryota, Metazoa, Chordata, Mammalia, Artiodactyla, Bovidae.